AGGUUUAGUUAGGUACACUGUUCC
This 24-nucleotide non-coding RNA is filed under the name Arabidopsis thaliana (thale cress). The record is from RNAcentral. Lineage: Eukaryota; Viridiplantae; Streptophyta; Magnoliopsida; Brassicales; Brassicaceae.